RNAcentral lists this non-coding RNA (658 nucleotides) under Pan troglodytes (chimpanzee). The record is from RNAcentral. Lineage: Eukaryota; Metazoa; Chordata; Mammalia; Primates; Hominidae.
ACCAUACAUCAGUCAUCUGGCAGCAGCUCAAGAAGCAUGUCCUCCACGCCGUCAAUCUGAGAGGCAGAGAGAGAGAGAAGGCAUUGAUCGGCCAGAGCCCUCCACUCCCUCCAUUCCUCACUCCUGCGCCUUCCCCUAGCUGGAAACAGCAGGCUGGAAUGCAAUGGUGUGAUCUUGGCUCACUGCGACCUCCACCUCCUGGGUUCAAGCGAUUCUCCUGCUUCUGCCUCCCGAGUAGCUGGGAUUACAGACAAAGAAUUCAAGACUAAGCUGGGCAUGGUGGCACGCACCUGUAGUCUCAGCUACUUGGGAGGCUGAGGCAGGAGAAUCACAUGAACCUGGCAGGCUGAGGUUGCAGUGAGCCGAGAUUGCGCCACUGCACUCCAGCCUGGCCACAGAGCAAGACUCCAUCUCAAAAAAAAAAAAAAAAAGAAGAAGUCAAGACUAAGAAGAGUGAAGUAUGAAGUAAUUCACCCACAGACACCCAGCUAGUGAGUGGCAGACCUGGAAGACAAACUAGUUCUGUUUGGCAUCAGAAUCUAUGCUGUCAGCCAUCUCACCACAUUCAUGUGACAUCCAACAAAGUGGUCCUUCACCUGCUACUAAGUCUUGCUAGGGCUAGUUCCAGAGCCAAGACUAUGAAGUGGACAAUGAUCUA